RNAcentral lists this long non-coding RNA (716 nucleotides) under Anas platyrhynchos platyrhynchos (common mallard). RNAcentral's name for it is "lncRNA (ENSAPLG00000025386.1)". The record is from RNAcentral. Lineage: Eukaryota; Metazoa; Chordata; Aves; Anseriformes; Anatidae.
CAGGCUGCCUUAGACAGGCAGAGCUGUGUAAAAACAAAAUAAAAUGGGAAAAUCUAAGAACUACUGUAAAAUGUAACCUGCUUUGUGCUUUCUUCCCCAGACUAGAAGAGACCUGUCUUAAGAAAGAUGGAGAUGGCCCCCAUCUUCCUUCCACAUGUUGCUCUGCCAAGGUACAGGACAUCCCAGUCUGGCUGUAUUCUGCCAGAGAAUUACAGCGGAGAGGAAUUUGUACACUACAACAGAAGCUUAAAAGAAAGAAAUCAUCUGUGUUUUCUCAUUCUGAUCAACAUCUCAAAGCUUGGGCUCGGUCUGCCAAUAUCUUCUGCCUCAUGAGUGAUGGCACUGCAGAGUGUGGAAUGGAUCACAAUCAAAAAGCUGGUCUGUACAAGCGUUUUAAGGUACAGUGCAUACUUUAAAAACCCAUUAGCUAAAAUGCUGUCUGUACUUUUAUGCAGUAGAAUAUCAAUGCAUCAGCCUCGGAGUAGCUGUAGAAGAAAGUACUUAAUAUUGAAUUUUCUUGCCCUUAAACAUGAAUUAUAAUGAUGAUAUUUUGUGGCUUUGCGUUUUACAAUACAACUCUAAAAAUACUACACAAACACUUUAAGAUUCUUUCCUUAUGAUUGUAAUGUCUGCCUUGGCAAAUGGUGUGCAUUAUAAAGAUAUAUUGUAGCUGUAUUGAAGGUACAUGUUACACAAAAAAAGAACUCAUUAAAAAC